RNA transcript from Benincasa hispida (wax gourd), 1711 nucleotides. It is a transcript of the gene named cysteine-rich receptor-like protein kinase 28, with no coding region annotated. NCBI's taxonomy places the organism in Eukaryota, Viridiplantae, Streptophyta, Magnoliopsida, Cucurbitales, Cucurbitaceae. The record is from RefSeq and is a predicted model, not a curated record.
UUUUUGUCUGAUGGAAAAUGAAAAAUUACUUUUGAUUUCUGAUGGGUGAUUAAUGCAAAACAAAAUUUCUUUCUCUCUCUAGCUUUCAGAAUCUCUCGUUCUCUACCUUUCUGUGUUCUUUUCUUUCUUCUAACCCUAAUGUCUUUUGUUUAAUCUGUGCGAUUGUUUAUAAGUAUACGAUGAGGAUACUGGCAAUCGGGUAGACGAUGUCAGAAGAAAAGAUGUAGACAAUCAUACAAUCGUAUAGACGAUUGCUCGAAGAAAGGUAGACGACCGUGCAAUCGUGUAGAUGAUUGCUUGAAGAAAGAUAGACGAUCGUUUUGUUCUUCUAGACGAUAUAAAGAAAAAAGAUAAACGAUGAACGAUCUUGUAGACGAUGAGAAGAGAAGAAGAAAAUACACUGCGAUAUACAUGGUUCGGCUAUGAAAGCCUACAUCCAUGGGAAGGAGAGAGUUUUUAUUAAGAAGCUAAGUCACAGACCCUUUUCUUUACAGAUUGUCCAAGAUUUGCUUGAAGCUAUGUAUUUGUUGUUGUUGUAUCUAAAAUUUGUAAAUGAUGAGUUUAAAUACUAUUUCUGAUACAAGUAGUUACAAUAACUAACUGUAAAGAUUAAAUAAAUAUGAAACAGCUUCUUGAUGUUGGUAUGAACUUAUAUUCUUCCGUUAUCUUUUGGAGGAAGGACUUGGAAAUGAGUUAAACUUACACAUUAACGUGUUCUACAGGUUUACAAGUGGAUGUCACUGUAGAUUUGAAAAUUUUGGCAUUUGACAUCAGUACUAUAAGAACUGCAACAGAUCACUCAGAUGAAAAUUAUAUUGGAGGAGUGAAUUUAAGAACGACAUCCUGUUUAAACUUCAACACCUGAAUUUAGAUCGGCUUCUCAGCUUCUGCCUCCAUGAAGACGAAAGGGUUCUCGUGUUUGAGUUUCUGCAAAACUCAAGUCUUGAUAAAUUCAUAUUUGAUCCAUUGAAAUGUCAAGAUUUGGACUGGGGAACACGCAACAAAAUCAUUGGAGGUGUUGCUAGGGGCCUUGUUUAUCUUAAUCAAGAUUCUCAAAUUAAAGCUAUUCAUCAAGUUCUCAAAGAUGCAAAUAUUUUAUUAGACCCAGAAAUGAAUCAUAAAAUUUCUGAUUUUUGCAUGGGAAAGUUGUUUCCACUUGGUGCACAAAGAAAUACAAGUCAGUAAGUAUAAAUAGGGGAAGAAACUCAUUAGCAUAUUCUUCAUUCUAUGAAGCAUAGUAGCAUAAAUGUUCUUCAUACUUUAUUAUCUUUCCUCUCACCAUCUAAUUAAUCUCACAAAUGUCCAAAUUCAGGGGAUACUUUGGAAACUGUACUUCUCAUGCUUAAUAGGGACACAAUCACUCUACCAAUAGUACUUUCUCCACUAGGUUAUUUCAUGAAUAGGAUCCCCAAAUCAGACGUCUUCUUCACAAGAGAGGUCUCAUUCCCAUGUGAUAGAGAUGGAAUGAGACGGGCCUCGAACUAACUUCGUCCAAUCGUCAAGACGUUCUAGUUUAAUUUUGAGACUGACUUGUGUGUGCAAUAAUGUGUACAGAUUUUCAAGAAUCAGCAGACUGUUUUUCUUGGCCAAAACAAGCAGCACUCUUCAUUCAAGUGUUUUUUUGCAUUAUAAGAAGUAUGAAAGCUAGAAAUAUACUCUCCCAAUUUGUUUUAUAUUGUUUUUAUGACUCAAUAUUAUCAGUAAUGCCAAU